UCUGACGGAGCAACGCCGCGUGAGUGAUGAAGGUUUUCGGAUCGUAAAGCUCUGUUGUUAGGGAAGAACAAGUGCGAGAGUAACUGCUCGCACCUUGACGGUACCUAACCAGAAAGCCACGGCUAACUACGUGCCAGCAGCCGCGGUAAUACGUAGGUGGCAAGCGUUGUCCGGAAUUAUUGGGCGUAAAGGGCUCGCAGGCGGUUUCUUAAGUCUGAUGUGAAAGCCCCCGGCUCAACCGGGGAGGGUCAUUGGAAACUGGGAAACUUGAGUGCAGAAGAGGAGAGUGGAAUUCCACGUGUAGCGGUGAAAUGCGUAGAGAUGUGGAGGAACACCAGUGGCGAAGGCGACUCUCUGGUCUGUAACUGACGCUGAGGAGCGAAAGCGUGGGGAGCGAACAGGAUUAGAUACCCUGGUAGUCCACGCCGUAAACGAUGAGUGCUAAGUGUUAGGGGGUUUCCGCCCCUUAGUGCUGCAGCUAACGCAUUAAGCACUCCGCCUGGGGAGUACGGUCGCAAGACUGAAACUCAAAGGAAUUGACGGGGGCCCGCACAAGCGGUGGAGCAUGUGGUUUAAUUCGAAGCAACGCGAAGAACCUUACCAGGUCUUGACAUCCUCUGACAACCCUAGAGAUAGGGCUUUCCCUUCGGGGACAGAGUGACAGGUGGUGCAUGGUUGUCGUCAGCUCGUGUCGUGAGAUGUUGGGUUAAGUCCCGCAACGAGCGCAACCCUUGAUCUUAGUUGCCAGCAUUCAGUUGGGCACUCUAAGGUGACUGCCGGUGACAAACCGGAGGAAGGUGGGGAUGACGUCAAAUCAUCAUGCCCCUUAUGACCUGGGCUACACACGUGCUACAAUGGACAGAACAAAGGGCUGCAAGACCGCAAGGUUUAGCCAAUCCCAUAAAUCUGUUCUCAGUUCGGAUCGCAGUCUGCAACUCGACUGCGUGAAGCUGGAAUCGCUAGUAAUCGCGGAUCAGCAUGCCGCGGUGAAUACGUUCCCGGGCCUUGUACACACCGCCCGUCACACCACGAGAGUUUGCAACACCCGAAGUCGGUGAGGUAACCUUUAUGGAGCCAGUCGCCGAAGUGGGGCAGAUGAUUGGGGUGAAGUCGUACAAGGGUAACCG
RNAcentral lists this ribosomal RNA (1127 nucleotides) under Bacillus pumilus. RNAcentral describes it as "bacterial SSU rRNA". It matches the Rfam family "Bacterial small subunit ribosomal RNA", at positions 382 to 1502 of the family's 1533-position model. The record is from RNAcentral. Lineage: Bacteria; Bacillati; Bacillota; Bacilli; Caryophanales; Bacillaceae.